This 966-nucleotide long non-coding RNA is filed under the name Elaeis guineensis (African oil palm). Its description in RNAcentral is "long non-coding RNA (EGUI_LNC008298)". The record is from RNAcentral. Lineage: Eukaryota; Viridiplantae; Streptophyta; Magnoliopsida; Arecales; Arecaceae.
ACAAACCAAAUCCUCCCUAAUAUAUUUCUAAUAAUUAUAAAUAAUUUACACAUCGAAUUAUAAGCUCUUAAGCCCUUUGUUAGAUCUUCAUACCUUUAACCCAAUUAACCAUCAAAAUUCCAUGUAAGACACAACAUUCCAUAUUUAACAAAAUAAAAUUCUAAAAAUUAUGAAAGUUAGUGGAAAACAUUUUACCAUAGGGGAGAGCUAAUUUAUGGCUAAAUUGAGCAAUACCGCUGGAUCCUAGUUAAAGGCUUUUCCUUCAACUCUCAAAAUAAAUCUGCAAAAAUAAUGAUAUUGAUUUUUUUUUCCGAAUCUUUUGAAUAAGAGGACUUCAAAUUUAUAGAUCAUGCUGCCAGACACUUGCCAAAGUGAACCAAACCAUAUAGACCUACACCUAGAUAUUUUCCCCAAAUCCAUCUCGAAACCAUAUUAAUCCAUUAAUUAAUAUCACAAUAGAACUGAAAAUUAUCUCAAUAAUGUCUUUGGCUAGAAGUCCAGGUCUUGAAUCUGAUCUCUACACCAUCAAUGCGGUAGUUUCUUCGCUCUACAUACAUAAAACCUAUGUAUAUUAGAGUUAGAUUAGGCAGUAAAGCCACAACCAGAGAGGGAGAAAUAUGGAAAGGAUAUUUUGACCAAUUACAUGCACAAAGUGGUAGGAAGAUGAGAGACCGGAUAAAGUUUUAGGACAGGUGAGAGAGAGAGAGAGGGAGAGAGAGAGAGCACAAGAGGGUGGCUGCCGGCGGGAGGUGAUGGGUGUGCUGUGCAAAUGUGGAAGAAGGAAGCCUAGCUGAAGGGCCUCUUUCAUGGACCUAAGGUGGCCCAAGGCCCUACUCUACCACUGCUAAAGCAGUAAGGAAGCAGUAAGGGGAACAUAUAAACAGAGAAAUUUUUUGUGCACCACCUGCGGUAUAAAAAAUCUGACAUAGAGCGCACCGUUUUAUCUGAUUGGUCCACAUAGCCACU